RNAcentral lists this unclassified non-coding RNA (405 nucleotides) under Hevea brasiliensis (rubber tree). Lineage: Eukaryota; Viridiplantae; Streptophyta; Magnoliopsida; Malpighiales; Euphorbiaceae. The record is from RNAcentral.
UUACCUGGGAUUGCUGAACUAAAGAAGAAAAGCACAAAACCAAAGAGACCCUCCAUCAAAUCCCUUUUUGAAGAUGACUCUGCUGCUGCUAAUCAACCUGUGCAAGGGAGCUUCCUAGGCCUCCUGCCUUCUAAAAUAGAAGAAGGUUCUGAGCUACCUAUUAGAUCCAAAUGAGCUGGACUAGCCUCUCAAUGACAUCAGAUGGUUACAGAUGUUGAAUUAAAGUCCAGCUGAAGAGGAUCAUGUUCUCUGGUGAGUAGGGCUUUUUGGUUUGCUGAUGCCCGCAGAUAUGUUUCCUGAAUGAAAAGUUUCAGGGGCAAAGGCUCCAAGGACAGAGUGGCUUCAGAUGCUAAUUGGCCGUUGGCCUAGUUUAACGUUCGUAACUUUGUAAAAUAAUUUCAUGGC